AGGGGCGCCUACUCAACGCUAUGCCCCGGGCGCCAUAAAAGCUCUCGGCGGCCCUGGUCCUGGUGAUGCUGAUUGCACCGUUGUUAAAACCGCUCUUGAUGUUGAAAACACAAGCUUGCAGCAUGUAACUGUUGUGGCGGAUGACACAGAUAUCGCAGUAAUGUUUAUUCAUUAUUGGAAAAACAACAUGUCUGACAUUUACAUUUUGCAAGAUAAAUGGGAUAAAGCUUGGAGUAUCAAGGGUGCUUCUUUAAAAAACAAAACCAUAAAACAACACCUGAUCUUUGUUCAUGCAUGGUUGGGGUGGGACGCUGUUUCGUCUGUGUUUGGAAAAAGUAAAACAAAACCAGUUGAAAAAAUAUCGGACAAGAAGUGGCAAAAAAUAUCAGAAGUAAUGGCAAGUCUAUGAGGUAAUCAUGAAGAAGUUGGAAACGCCUCAAUUGAAGGUUUUAUUUUGUUAUAUGGAGGAACAAAAGGAAGUACACUUGUAAAAUUGAGGUAAUUGUUUUCUAUCUACCAUAGAAAUCCUUAUUUUAUAAAAAUAAUUAUCUUACUUAAUUUAUUAUUAACUUUUGGUAUAAUAAAUACAUAGAUUUAGCAUACAAGGGUAUAAUAUCCCCAGAGAAAUAUCCACCUACUGAUAAAACUGCUUACUUCCACGGCCUGCGCGUGCAUUGUCAAAUAAUUUUAUGGUCACUAAUUGAUGACAUUGAACUAGAUGCAACUGAAUGGGGCUGGAAGCAACACGACGGAGUAAUCACGCCUAUAAUGAACGAUAAAGACAUUAUACCAGAAGCAAUAACAAAGGUCAUUAGAUGUAAUUGCAAGACAACAACAAAAAACCCAUGUGGUGACAAAACAAGUACGUGCAGGAAAUACAGAAAACGGUGCUUGCAAUUUGUGGGGAAUGUCGCGGAACAGAAUGUACGAAUAGCAAGGGUAAUGAAAUUAAAGAAGAAAACGAAAUGGAAAAUUAUGAAGAUGACAAUAUGAACAUAUUAUGUUUCCCUGGUUUCUAAAUCGAGAAAUAUAAUUAAAAAAAACAAACGGUUUAAUUUAGAUUUAAUUAAA
Hydra vulgaris (swiftwater hydra) is the source of this 1071-nucleotide non-coding RNA. The record is from RefSeq and is a predicted model, not a curated record. Lineage: Eukaryota; Metazoa; Cnidaria; Hydrozoa; Anthoathecata; Hydridae.